UCGGACGUGGUGCUUGGUGAACGCCCACCGCCUAUUCGAGAAUACAAAACGAAGAGUUAAGUGGGAAAACCGGGUUCAAUUCCCGGCGUCCGAA
Non-coding RNA from Mycena crocata, 94 nucleotides. NCBI's taxonomy places the organism in Eukaryota, Fungi, Basidiomycota, Agaricomycetes, Agaricales, Mycenaceae. The record is from the annotation of a GenBank genome assembly.